ACUUACUCACUAUGCUGCUUAACCAA
RNAcentral lists this non-coding RNA (26 nucleotides) under Homo sapiens (human). The record is from RNAcentral. Lineage: Eukaryota; Metazoa; Chordata; Mammalia; Primates; Hominidae.